GGAUCGAAAACGCGACCGUGGCCGCGCUCCACAGCGCAAGCCGGUAGUCGCGGUGCUGGAUGGAAGCGGUCCAUGUGUCGGGAAUGAAGGCGAGCGGCAGGAAGGCCGUAUUUGCGCAGGAGCCGGCAAUCCACCGUGAUGUCAAUGAGAUUCCGCAGCCGCAAAGCAUAUGCGGCGGUCAUGGCGUUGACCCAGGUGGCGUCCGCAUCGAGUUGCGAAAGCUCCUCGCCAAGCGAGCUGCACAAUUGCGUUGCUUCCUGAUCUGCCUGACCGCUCUUGGCGAGCCAGUUCGCGACUCUCGCGCUGAGCGCAGCCAUGCGCGCGC
RNAcentral lists this unclassified non-coding RNA (325 nucleotides) under Hevea brasiliensis (rubber tree). Lineage: Eukaryota; Viridiplantae; Streptophyta; Magnoliopsida; Malpighiales; Euphorbiaceae. The record is from RNAcentral.